Molecule: ribosomal RNA, 579 nt
Filed under: Hanseniaspora uvarum
Lineage: Eukaryota; Fungi; Ascomycota; Saccharomycetes; Saccharomycodales; Saccharomycodaceae
Description: partial large subunit ribosomal RNA
Rfam family: Eukaryotic large subunit ribosomal RNA
Source: RNAcentral
GGAUUACUUAGUACGGCGAGUGAGCGGUAAAAGCUCAAAUUUGAAAUCUGGUACUUUCAGUGCCCGAGUUGUAAUUUGUAGAAUUUGUCUUUGAUUAGGUCCUUGUCUAUGUUCCUUGGAACAGGACGUCAUAGAGGGUGAGAAUCCCGUUUGGCGAGGAUACCUUUUCUCUGUAAGACUUUUUCGAAGAGUCGAGUUGUUUGGGAAUGCAGCUCAAAGUGGGUGGUAAAUUCCAUCUAAAGCUAAAUAUUGGCGAGAGACCGAUAGCGAACAAGUACAGUGAUGGAAAGAUGAAAAGAACUUUGAAAAGAGAGUGAAAAAGUACGUGAAAUUGUUGAAAGGGAAGGGCAUUUGAUCAGACAUGGUGUUUUUUGCAUGCACUCGCCUCUCGUGGGCUUGGGCCUCUCAAAAAUUUCACUGGGCCAACAUCAAUUCUGGCAGCAGGAUAAAUCAUUAAGAAUGUAGCUACUUCGGUAGUGUUAUAGCUUUUUGGAAUACUGUUAGCCGGGAUUGAGGACUGCGCUUCGGCAAGGAUGUUGGCAUAAUGGUUAAAUGCCGCCCGUCUUGAACCACGGACCA